Molecule: ribosomal RNA, 468 nt
Filed under: uncultured bacterium
Lineage: Bacteria
Description: partial 16S ribosomal RNA
Rfam family: Bacterial small subunit ribosomal RNA
Source: RNAcentral
GACGAACGCUGGCGGCGUGCUUAACACAUGCAAGUCGAACGGAAAGGCCCUGCUUUUGUGGGUUGCUCGUUUGGCGAACGGGUGAGUAACACGCGAGUAACCUGCCCUUGACUUUGGGAUAACUUCUGGAAACUGGGGCUCAUACCCGAUAUGAUCUUCUGCUGCAUGGUGGGGGUUGGAAAGUUUCGGCGGUUGGGGAUGGAUUCGCGGCUUAUCAGCUUGUUGGUGGGGUAGUGGCUUACCAAGGGUUUGACGGGUAGCCGGCCUGAGAGGGGUAACGGCCACCUGGGGACUAAGGGACGGACCAGAAGCGUACGGGAGGCAGCAGUGGAGAAUAUUACGGAAUGGGGGGAAGCCUGAUGCAGCAACGCCGCGUGCGGGAUGACGGCCUUCGGGUUGUAAACCGCUUUGGAAUGUGACGAAGAGUGAGUGACGGUAAUGGGUAAAGAAGCACCGGCUAACUACGUG